UACAGAGGGCUCAAGCGUUGUUCGGAUUCAUUGGGCGUAAAGGGCGCGUAGGCGGCUUUAUAAGUCGGGGGUGAAAGCCUGUGGCUCAACCACAGAAUUGCCUUCGAUACUGUAGAGCUUGAGACCGGAAGAGGUAAGUGGAACUGCGAGUGUAGAGGUGAAAUUCGUAGAUAUUCGCAAGAACACCAGUGGCGAAGGCGGCUUACUGGUCCGGUUCUGACGCUGAGGCGCGAAAGCGUGGGGAGCAAACAGG
Molecule: ribosomal RNA, 253 nt
Filed under: uncultured bacterium
Lineage: Bacteria
Description: partial 16S ribosomal RNA
Rfam family: Bacterial small subunit ribosomal RNA
Source: RNAcentral